Molecule: ribosomal RNA, 253 nt
Filed under: uncultured bacterium
Lineage: Bacteria
Description: partial 16S ribosomal RNA
Rfam family: Bacterial small subunit ribosomal RNA
Source: RNAcentral
UACGUAGGGUGCGAGCGUUAAUCGGAAUUACUGGGCGUAAAGCGUGCGUAGGUGGUUCGUUGUGUCUGUGGUGAAAGCCCCGGGCUUAACCUGGGAAUGGCCAUGGAAACUGGCGAGCUGGAGUGUGGCAGAGGGGGGUGGAAUUCCACGUGUAGCAGUGAAAUGCGUAGAGAUGUGGAGGAACACCGAUGGCGAAGGCAGCCUCCUGGGCCAGCACUGACGCUCAUGCACGAAAGCGUGGGGAGCAAACAGG